GGGUUGUGAGGUUAAGCGACUAAGCGUACACGGUGGAUGCCCUGGCAGUCAGAGGCGAUGAAGGACGUGCUAAUCUGCGAUAAGCGUCGGUAAGGUGAUAUGAACCGUUAUAACCGGCGAUUUCCGAAUGG
Molecule: ribosomal RNA, 131 nt
Filed under: Escherichia coli
Lineage: Bacteria; Pseudomonadati; Pseudomonadota; Gammaproteobacteria; Enterobacterales; Enterobacteriaceae
Also listed under: 1 other name
Description: partial 23S ribosomal RNA
Rfam family: Bacterial large subunit ribosomal RNA
Source: RNAcentral